GUGGGUAGUUUAACCUUUCGAGGAGGACGCUCACCACUUUGUGGUUCAUGACUGGGGUGAAGUCGUAACAAGGUAGCCCUAGGGGAACCUGGGGCUGGAUCACCUCCUUAUACGAAGAUACC
RNAcentral lists this ribosomal RNA (122 nucleotides) under Vibrio lentus. RNAcentral's name for it is "partial 16S ribosomal RNA". It matches the Rfam family "Bacterial small subunit ribosomal RNA", at positions 1426 to 1533 of the family's 1533-position model. The record is from RNAcentral. Lineage: Bacteria; Pseudomonadati; Pseudomonadota; Gammaproteobacteria; Vibrionales; Vibrionaceae.